This 291-nucleotide long non-coding RNA is filed under the name Bos taurus (domestic cattle). Its description in RNAcentral is "long non-coding RNA NONBTAT001356". Lineage: Eukaryota; Metazoa; Chordata; Mammalia; Artiodactyla; Bovidae. The record is from RNAcentral.
ACCUAGAGUCGGUACAGUUUGGGAAUUCUAAAGACACCAAUAUAAAUCUGAGUUCUCCAGGUAAUCCAUCUUCAUAAUAAGGGUAAACAAAAAUGAUUUAUCUCCUCCUGAGACAGCCAUGCAGGAAAGAAAUUUACCACCUUAAACGUCGAUGAAAAGUGGAGAGAAGGGGGGAACAAUCCUCCCUUUAAGAAUUCAUAAGUGCCACUUAGGGCCUUACUGAUAAUACCUAGGCAUUCCAGAACCCUCCUUCCUGAGAAUUUUGUUUCAAAUGUCUCCAUACAGACUUAU